Molecule: ribosomal RNA, 428 nt
Filed under: uncultured prokaryote
Description: bacterial SSU rRNA
Rfam family: Bacterial small subunit ribosomal RNA
Source: RNAcentral
UGGGGAAUAUUGGGCAAUGGGCGAAAGCCUGACCCAGCGACGCCGCGUGGGCGAUGAAGGCCUUCGGGUUGUAAAGCCCUGUCAUGUGGAAAGAACAGUCUCGUGGCUAAUAUCCACGGGAUUUGACGGUACCACAGGAGGAAGCACCGGCUAACUCCGUGCCAGCAGCCGCGGUAAUACGGAGGGUGCAAGCGUUGUUCGGAAUUAUUGGGCGUAAAGGGCGCGUAGGCGGUUGUGAAAGUCAGAUGUGAAAUACUUCGGCUCAACUGAAGAACUGCAUCUGAAACUUCAUAACUCGAGUACAGGAGAGGGAAACGGAAUUCCCGGUGUAGAGGUGAAAUUCGUAGAUAUCGGGAGGAACACCAGUGGCGAAGGCGGUUUCCUGGCCUGAUACUGACGCUGAGGCGCGAAAGCGUGGGGAGCAAACA